CAGCACCUCAAGUGGUCAGGAUGAUUAUUGGGCCUAAAGCAUCCGUAGCCGGCGCUGUAAGUUUUCGGUUAAAUCUGUACGCUCAACGUACAGGCUGCCGGGAAUACUGCAGCGCUAGGGAGUGGGAGAGGUAGACGGUACUCGGUAGGAAGGGGUAAAAUCCUUUGAUCUAUUAAUGACCACCUGUGGCGAAGGCGGUCUACCAGAACACGUCCGACGGUGAGGGAUGAAAGCUGGGGGAGCAAACCGGAUUAGAUACCCGUGUAGUCC
RNAcentral lists this ribosomal RNA (270 nucleotides) under uncultured archaeon. RNAcentral describes it as "partial 16S ribosomal RNA". It matches the Rfam family "Archaeal small subunit ribosomal RNA", at positions 477 to 747 of the family's 1478-position model. The record is from RNAcentral.